Cavia porcellus (domestic guinea pig) is the source of this 278-nucleotide regulatory RNA element. It matches the Rfam family "Mason-Pfizer monkey virus packaging signal". From Rfam's summary of the family: The packaging signal is located in the 5' UTR and is required for specific RNA encapsidation. The record is from Rfam. Lineage: Eukaryota; Metazoa; Chordata; Mammalia; Rodentia; Caviidae.
UGGUGCCCAAUGUGGGGCUCGAGAAUGGGGGACUUCAUGAGGAACUCUGUUCAUAGGCCCAAAGUAGAAAAAAGGAAAAGAAAAUAGAGGACCUGAUGAUGUGGGAGCCUGCUACACUGUGCUGAACCUCGGUAAGUGAACAGCGAUUAUGGGACAAGAAAUGAGCCAGCAUGAGAUUUUUGUUGAAAGUUUAGGAAAGGCUUUAAAGGUGUGAGGAGUAAAGAUUAAAAUUAAUCAAUUGUGUCAAUAUUUUGAUUUUAUGAAAGAAGUUUGUCGUU